RNAcentral lists this ribosomal RNA (112 nucleotides) under Methanobacteriota archaeon. RNAcentral's name for it is "Euryarchaeota archaeon partial 23S ribosomal RNA". It matches the Rfam family "Archaeal large subunit ribosomal RNA", at positions 2860 to 2970 of the family's 2987-position model. The record is from RNAcentral. Lineage: Archaea; Methanobacteriati; Methanobacteriota.
CCGCCCUCAAGACGAGGCAUCUUAUGGCCGUCGUAAUCGACGACGUUGAUAGAGCGGGGGUGUACGCACGAAGCUCGCAAGGGCGACGUGUUCAGCCCGCCGCCACUAACCG